GCAAGUCGAACGCGAAAAUUUUUCUUCGGAGAAAAGAGUAGAGUGGCGCACGGGUGAGUAACGCGUAAGUUAUCUACCCCUCCAUCUGGAAUAACUCACCGAAAGGUGUGCUAAUACCGGAUACGUUGGAAACAAGAAAGGUGGCCUCUUCUAUGCUACCGUGGAGGGAUGAGCUUGCGUACCAUUAGCUUGUUGGUAGGGUAAUGGCCUACCAAGGCGACGAUGGUUAGCGGGUCUGAGAGGAUGAUC
Molecule: ribosomal RNA, 249 nt
Filed under: uncultured bacterium
Lineage: Bacteria
Description: partial 16S ribosomal RNA
Rfam family: Bacterial small subunit ribosomal RNA
Source: RNAcentral